CUGAACCAGCCAAGUAGCGUGAAGGAUGACUGCCCUAUGGGUUGUAAACUUCUUUUAUACGGGAAUAAAGUGAGGCACGUGUGCCUUUUUGUAUGUACCGUAUGAAUAAGGAUCGGCCAACUCCGUGCCAGCAGCCGCGGUAAUACGGAGGAUCCGAGCGUUAUCCGGAUUUAUUGGGUUUAAAGGGAGCGUAGAUGGAUGUUUAAGUCAGUUGUGAAAGUUUGCGG
RNAcentral lists this ribosomal RNA (227 nucleotides) under uncultured bacterium. Its description in RNAcentral is "partial 16S ribosomal RNA". It matches the Rfam family "Bacterial small subunit ribosomal RNA", at positions 383 to 607 of the family's 1533-position model. The record is from RNAcentral.